UAUCUCUAGUUGCCAGCGAUUCGGUCGGGGACUCUAGAGAUACUGCCCCGGUUAACGGGAGGAAGGUGGGGAUGACGUCAAGUCCUCAUGGCCCUUAUGCCCAGGGCUACACACGUGCUACAAUGGGCGGUACAAAGGGUAGCGAUGCCGCGAGGUGAAGCCAAUCCCAAAAAGCCGUCCACAGUUCGGAUUGGAGUCUGCAACUCGACUCCAUGAAGCCGGAAUCGCUAGUAAUCGUGGAUCAGCAUGCCACGGUGAAUACGUUCCCGGGCCUU
RNAcentral lists this ribosomal RNA (275 nucleotides) under uncultured Desulfobacterium sp. RNAcentral describes it as "partial 16S ribosomal RNA". It matches the Rfam family "Bacterial small subunit ribosomal RNA", at positions 1106 to 1382 of the family's 1533-position model. Lineage: Bacteria; Pseudomonadati; Thermodesulfobacteriota; Desulfobacteria; Desulfobacterales; Desulfobacteriaceae. The record is from RNAcentral.